GACGAACGCUGGCGGCGUGCUUAACACAUGCAAGUCGAACGGAAAGGCCCUGCUUUUGUUGCGUGCUCGAGUGGCGAACGGGUGAGAAACACGUGAGUAACCCGUCCUUGACUGAGGGAUAAAUUCAGGUAACUGGGGCUCAUAACGGAUAUGAGCUCCUGAUGCAUGGGGGGGGUUGGCAAGUUUCGGCUGUGGGGGAUGGACUCGCGGCUUACCAGCUGGUUGGUGGGGUGGUGGCUUACCACGGCUUUGAGGGGUAGCCGGCCUGGGAGGUUGACCGGCCACAUUGGUACUGGGAUACGCCCCAGACUCCUACGGGAGGCAGCAGGGGGAAGUAUUGCACAAUGGGGGGAGGCCUGUGGCGGCAACGCCCGGUGCGGAAGAACGGCUUUGGGGUGUAAAACCGCUUUCGCAGGUGCCGAAGUGGUAGUGACGGUAACGGGUAAAGAAGCACCGGCUAACUACGUG
This 468-nucleotide ribosomal RNA is filed under the name uncultured bacterium. Its description in RNAcentral is "partial 16S ribosomal RNA". It matches the Rfam family "Bacterial small subunit ribosomal RNA", at positions 28 to 507 of the family's 1533-position model. The record is from RNAcentral.